This 432-nucleotide ribosomal RNA is filed under the name uncultured bacterium. RNAcentral's name for it is "partial 16S ribosomal RNA". It matches the Rfam family "Bacterial small subunit ribosomal RNA", at positions 29 to 507 of the family's 1533-position model. The record is from RNAcentral.
ACGAACGCUGGCGGCAUGCCUAACACAUGCAAGUCGAACGCGACCUUCGGGUCUAGUGGCGCACGGGUGCGUAACGCGUGGGAACCUGCCCUUAGGUUCGGAAUAACUCCCCGAAAGGGGUGCUAAUACCGGAUAAUGUCUUCGGACCAAAGAUUUAUCGCCUUUGGAUGGGCCCGCGUUGGAUUAGCUAGUUGGUAGGGUAAAAGCCUACCAAGGCGACGAUCCAUAGCUGGUCUGAGAGGAUGAUCAGCCACACUGGGACUGAGACACGGCCCAGACUCCUACGGGAGGCAGCAGUGGGGAAUAUUGGACAAUGGGCGAAAGCCUGAUCCAGCAAUGCCGCGUGAGUGAUGAAGGCCUUAGGGUUGUAAAGCUCUUCUACCCGGGAUGAUAAUGACAGUACCGGGAGAAUAAGCUCCGGCUAACUCCGUG